This 253-nucleotide ribosomal RNA is filed under the name uncultured bacterium. RNAcentral's name for it is "partial 16S ribosomal RNA". It matches the Rfam family "Bacterial small subunit ribosomal RNA", at positions 524 to 776 of the family's 1533-position model. The record is from RNAcentral.
GACGUAGGGUGCGAGCGUUGUCCGGAUUUAUUGGGCGUAAAGAGCUCGUAGGCGGCUUGUCGCGUCGACCGUGAAAACUUGGGGCUCAACCCCAAGCCUGCGGUCGAUACGGGCAGACUAGAGUUCGGUAGGGGAGACUGGAAUUCCUGGUGUAGCGGUGAAAUGCGCAGAUAUCAGGAGGAACACCGGUGGCGAAGGCGGGUCUCUGGGCCGAAACUGACGCUGAGGAGCGAAAGCGUGGGGAGCAAACAGG